CCUACGGGGCGCAGCAGUGGGGAAUAUUGCACAAUGGGGGAAACCCUGAUGCAGCGACGCCGCGUGAGUGAAGAAGUAUCUCGGUACGUAAAGCUCUAUCAGCAGGAAAGAAAAUGACGGUACCUGACUAAGAAGCCCCGGCUAACUACGUGCCAGCAGCCGCGGUAAUACGUAGGGGGCAAGCGUUAUCCGGAUUUACUGGGUGUAAAGGGAGCGUAGACGGCUGUGCAAGUCUGAAGUGAAAGCCCGUGGCUCAACCGCGGAACUGCUUUGGAAACUGUAUAGCUGGAGUACUGGAGAGGCAGGCGGAAUUCCUAGUGUAGCGGUGAAAUGCGUAGAUAUUAGGAGGAACACCAGUGGCGAAGGCGGCCUGCUGGACAGAAACUGACGUUGAGGCUCGAAAGCGUGGGGAGCAAACAGGAUUAGAUACCCGGGUAGUC
This 440-nucleotide ribosomal RNA is filed under the name uncultured bacterium. Its description in RNAcentral is "partial 16S ribosomal RNA". It matches the Rfam family "Bacterial small subunit ribosomal RNA", at positions 338 to 795 of the family's 1533-position model. The record is from RNAcentral.